Molecule: ribosomal RNA, 597 nt
Filed under: uncultured bacterium
Lineage: Bacteria
Description: bacterial SSU rRNA
Rfam family: Bacterial small subunit ribosomal RNA
Source: RNAcentral
CAUCGACGGGUAGCUGGUCUGAGAGGACGAUCAGCCACACUGGGACUGAGACACGGCCCAGACUCCUACGGGAGGCAGCAGUGGGGAAUAUUGCGCAAUGGGCGAAAGCCUGACGCAGCAACGCCGCGUGGGGGAUGAAGGCCUUCGGGUUGUAAACCCCUUUCAGCAGGGACGAAAAUGACGGUACCUGCAGAAGAAGCCCCGGCCAACUACGUGCCAGCAGCCGCGGUAACACGUAGGGGGCAAGCGUUGUCCGGAUUUAUUGGGCGUAAAGAGCUCGUAGGCGGUUGCGUAAGUCGGAUGUGAAAACUCAGGGCUCAACCCGGAGACGCCAUCCGAUACUGCGCUGACUAGAGUCCGGUAGAGGAGCAUGGAAUUCCUGGUGUAGCGGCGAAAUGCGCAGAUAUCAGGAGGAACACCAGUGGCGAAGGCGGUGCUCUGGGCCGGUACUGACGCUGAGGAGCGAAAGCGUGGGUAGCGAACAGGAUUAGAUACCCUGGUAGUCCACGCCGUAAACGUUGGGCACUAGGUGUGGGGCCUCCUUAACGGGCUCCGUGCCGUAGCUAACGCAUUAAGUGCCCCGCCUGGGGAGUACGG